This 125-nucleotide small RNA is filed under the name Marmota monax (woodchuck). Lineage: Eukaryota; Metazoa; Chordata; Mammalia; Rodentia; Sciuridae. The record is from RNAcentral.
GCUGGGUGUGGUGGUGCAUGCCUGAAAUCCCAGCAGCUUGGGAGGCUGAGGCAGGAGGAUUUUGAGUUCAAAGCCAGCUUCAGCAACAGUGAGGUGCUAAGCAACUCAGUGAGACCCUGUCUCUA